GAUGCGUGAUACGUAUCGUCACUUUAUAAUAAGCAUUACAAAAUAUUUGGAACACUCUCACUAGGUAUGCAACCAACGUUACAGACACUUGUAUUGAAAGUUGCUGUUGAUCGACGACAAAGUUGGUAACUUUGGGAAAUUCAGAACCUAGAAGUUGGUUUGUGUGUCGAUACGGCUUCCGGCUGACGUGAUUGUCAUUGUAGAGGGACCGGAUCGUCACUUCAAUCUCGGCUUUUGUGGAAGCCAGACCUCACACCAGUGGCCAUUACGGAGAAUAUAAAAUUUUGGUUGAAAUGUUUUAAAUAGAAUAUUAAUUUACGUGAGAAGGAGUUGUUUUGUUUUUGGUUAAGUGUUUGAAGAGAAGAGUUUUUGUGUUCCAACACCUUUUUUUGAAGAGUAAUGGCCACUGGUGGAGACCAAGAUUAAGUCACCCCAAACAAGUUUUGAGAUGGAAUAGACAAUCAUUUUGGGUUUUUGGGCAUUGGAUGGAGUUUAGUUUUGGUUUAUUUUCUUUGGGAAAAUAUAUAGUUUUCCGGUGCUAGGAAGUAGCUCCUUGUCGCACCUCAUCUUCAUACCUUCUGGUUGGUGAGAAGUACUUCCCCUAAAGUAGGGAAAACCGGAAGAUACCUUACUUGGUUCUCCCCGUAUCAACUACUGGAGUUUGGAGAAGCCACAGUCCUGCAUUUAGUAGAAGCGACAGGUUUUUAUUGUUAAAAUUUACAUUUACAAUCCUUUUGCCUAAUAUUUUUUUUCAACUUUAACAUUUUUAAUAACAUAGAUAACCUUAAAAAUCAUGUAAAUUCAACUCUUCUAAAAUCAAUUCACUUUAUCAUAUUAAAUAUUUUCUUUUCAACAAAUUUUAGGUCAUUUUCAUUAUUGUAUCUUUAUUUAAAAUAGUCCGGAGAUCAUAACCUACCUGGUAAGAUAAUGUGUACACUAUCGUAAGGUUAUUACCUCAUCUCUUUAAUAGUAUUUAUUUCAUUCGUAAGUAUUGUCCGGUUCGUCAUUCUGAUCAGAUACGAAAUUGUCAACCAAUGUUGUAAUACUCUUUAAUAAUAAGUUUUUGUACAUGCAUAUUCAAAUCAACUAAUUGUCUUGGUAUAAUAAAUUCAAUCCAUUUUUGUACUGUAAUAUAUAUUUUAUAGACAGGAGCGUACUAGCCUAGUACGUCAGGUGUUAGCUAGUUUGUAUAAAUUGUAUAUAGGGGUUAUAGGUAAUUUUUUUCCAUUAAACUGGUUGGUUGUACAUA
RNAcentral lists this long non-coding RNA (1249 nucleotides) under Diabrotica virgifera virgifera (western corn rootworm). Its description in RNAcentral is "uncharacterized LOC126886784". The record is from RNAcentral. Lineage: Eukaryota; Metazoa; Arthropoda; Insecta; Coleoptera; Chrysomelidae.